AUUGAACGCUGGCGGCAGGCCUAACACAUGCAAGUCGAGCGGAGCGGAGGACGGGUGAGUAAUGCCUAGGAAUCUGCCUGGUCGUGGGGGGUAACGUCCGGAAACGGGCGCUAAUACAGCACAUUAUCAGACGAAUCUAGGUGGGAGUAGCUAGUUGGUGGGGUAAAGGCCUACCAAGGCGACGAUCCGUACCUGGUCUGAGAGGAUGAUCAGUCACACGGGAACUGAGACAGGGCCAAGACUCCUACGGGAGGAAGAAGUGGGGAAUAUUGGACAAUGGGCGAAAGCCUGAGCCAGCCAUGCCGCGUGUAUGAAGAAGGUCUUCGGAUUGUAAAGCACUUUCAGUUGGGAGGCGUUACCGACAGAAGAAGCACCGGCUAACUUCGUGCCAGCAGCCGCGGUAAUAC
RNAcentral lists this ribosomal RNA (407 nucleotides) under uncultured bacterium. RNAcentral's name for it is "partial 16S ribosomal RNA". It matches the Rfam family "Bacterial small subunit ribosomal RNA", at positions 30 to 526 of the family's 1533-position model. The record is from RNAcentral.